RNAcentral lists this microRNA precursor (195 nucleotides) under Oryza barthii. RNAcentral describes it as "MIR812 microRNA precursor family". It matches the Rfam family "MIR812 microRNA precursor family". The record is from Rfam by way of RNAcentral. Lineage: Eukaryota; Viridiplantae; Streptophyta; Magnoliopsida; Poales; Poaceae.
AAAAAAAUAAAUCCUAAAUAUCUGUGUCAAUAUUUAACUGUCUGUUUUAUAUGAACUUUUUUAUAAUUAGUAUUUUUAUUAUUGUUAGAUGAUAAAACAUGAUUAAUACUUUAUGUGUGACUUAUCUUUUUAAUUUUUUUUAUAAUUUUUUUAAAUAAAACGGAUGGUGAAACGUUAGAUAUAAAAAUCAGGGUU